UCUAAAGUCAUUAUCAGAUAAACAAAAAGACUGGCGGUCAAUUUUAACAUUUUCAAUAAUGGCUUUUCUUCUAGUUUUCUUUCUAGCCGUUGUUAAUUUAGCAUGUGUCAGUGGUGGAAAAUUAAAUGCACCUAAAGUGUUAUUACCGUACAGUCCUACAACAAUCUCGAACUUUACUUUAAAGGUAAACUUAACGAAAGAAGAGCAAGCCGAACAUAACCACUGCUACACAUGGAGAUCUACCCACCCUGAAGUGGUUGCUGUGACCCCUAUGAAUUUGCUGGAGGAAGAUUGUUCGUUGCAUGCUGUGGUUUCAACUGUAUCAAGAACUGACCACAAAAUGACUUCAAUCAUAUUUGCUGAAGAUAAGAUAUCAAAUGAGGUGUUUCACUGCUAUGUUAUUGUUGACCUGAUAUCACGUUUCUCAAUCUCCACUACAACUCGACUAAUAUCUCUUGAUGACACUCCUGAAAUACUUGCAGUUCAUGCUUAUGAUAAUGAAGAAAAUGUCUUCACUACUCUGAGUGGUAUGGAAUUCCACUGGAAAUUUUUGCCAAAUGGAGACAAAAAAUUUUUUGAAGAACAAAAUCUUAAAUUCUUAAAGUUUGAAGAUUCUAAAUACCAGACCCCACCUCACAUAUCGCCAUUAGAACGAGCUGGAAAAACUGGUGACAUUGUCUUAGUGGAGUCUGUUAAAACUGGCAGUUCUACAGUUGAAGCAACCCUCUUUGACCCAAUAUAUAAAAAUGUUCCCCCUGCCACGGUGAGUUUGACGGUGAUUGCCAACUUGAUGAUUAACCCUCCUAGUGUACACGUGUUGGUUCAUGGCAAAGUCUUUUAUAAACUGGAACAAAUCAGGCAGAAUGUCAUUACUCGAAUUUAUUUGCCUUCUCCACAAUAUUACAUGGAAGUUGUCAAACCAGACAUCUGUUCAUUUAAUCCGGAAACCUCAGAAGCUGAAGCAAUUAGUUUUGGUUCCACUGAAAUUGUUUUACGAGACCGAAAUAUCCAAGACAGUGAACAGUCGUACCAACCUUCUGCUUUAAUAUAUGUUGUUGAACCAGCUUACAUAAGUUUUGUUGUUUUAUCACACACAAAAUGGGUGUUGGAAACCGGUAGAAAUUAUGAAAUCUGUUUGGAAAUUUUUGAUUCUUCAAAUCACAAGAUUUAUCCAUCAGAUAAUCUCAUAAUUGAAGCUUUAUUUCCUGCUGAAUAUUUCCGAGUCAAUCACCAAACAAAAAAUGGUUCCUACUUUCAUGUGACCACUCUAAAGAAAGGAGUUGUUAACAUCAAAGGUAGUUUAAAAGGUGUUCUGUCUGAAAAGAAACAUCUAUUUGCACAAGCCCUAGUGACUGAACAGUUGCUGGAGAUCUAUGACAAAAUUGAGGUGGAACCAAAGUCUAUAUUAUUCCCAUGGGAAUCAAAUACUAAAUUUAGUUAUAGCUCAAAGCUUACGGCUACUGGUGGUAGUGGUGAAUAUUCCUGGAAUUCCUUGAACCUAAGUGUUGCCACUGUAAACAACAAAGGUUACACAAGUCCUGUCAGCCUUGGAAUUAGUACAGUAGUGGCUGCUGAUGUCAAGAACCAUAGGCACACCGGAAUGGCUAAGGUUGCUGUCCUUCCUCCAACGAAAAUUAAGCUGCUUCCAUCAAAAGUGGAAGCUGAAAUCAACACCAAGUUACUUCUCCCUGUUGCAAUGUUUGCUGAUUUUGAAGGUGCCGAGAAAGCCUUUGAAGAUUGCCGACAUCUAAAAUUGUCUGUGAAAUUCUCAGACAAAACUUCAUUUGAUUUAAUCCCAGUUUCUCCUCACUCAAGUUUAAACUGCGUAGCAACCAGCUGGCCAUUUCAUUUGUGUUACUCUAUGGGCCAUAGGGCUAUUGACCAUGCUGGUUCUGUGGACACCGAGAAAAUUAGCUGCACCUCCAUUCAGCUCCUGGCCAAGCAACCAGGCAGCUGUCGAAUAACAGUUACUUACCAAGGUUCACAUAAAAUUCUACAAGCUUCUGUUACUGUGGCAGCAUACAAACCUCUUGUGGCUGAAAGUCCUCUAAGCAUUGUUACUCUUGGUUCUUCAAAAGACAUUUUGUUUUCUGGUGGUCCCCAACCAUGGCAGCUGGAUCCAACGGAAUAUUUUGAAGAUUUGAUACCAAGUGCUAACUUUGUUAGUUUUUCACACUUGUCUGGAAUUGAGUUUAGUCUUCACCGAGGUCUUCAUGCUUUUCAAGUUGUGUGUACAGGACUCGGGGAGCAGACUUUAAAACUGAAAGUUGGCAACAAACCCACUCACACUAAUCUCUUGCCUGUUGUUGUGGAAACCUUUGUCAAAUUUAUCUGUGCUGAACCUGUUAGUCUUCAUCUACAACCACAAGUCUUAACUGUUUCUAAACAGUCAGAUCUGCCACCAUGUCCUGUUUUCUUGGAUUCUAAUCAAGUUAUUCCAGUUCACUGCAAGCAAGACUUGACAGUCCUGUUGACUGUCACUGAUAAUCAAGGACAUAAAUUUGACAACUUUUCAUCCCUCAAGUUUGACUGGAAGUUGUCCGACACAUCAUUGGCCUCCCUCAACUUAGCUGAACCAAUGAGAAUAGAGACAGACAUUUCUGAUAGAACUUCUAAGGUUUCAGCUGUUGGUUACCAAGUUGUGGGAAUGUUUGGUAAGCCUGGUACAGUGAUUUUAACUGUUUCCUGUCAAAACUAUAUCUCUAGGUACCUGUCUCAUUACCGAAUUCCACUUCAUUCGCGGCUGCGAGGAUUGAUAAGCCAGUCUCUUGAAUUAAAUCUUGUUGAAGGACCCUUCAUAACACCGGACUCCUUAUCAAUAUUCAACCAUCCUUCUAAUAAAGCUUACUUGAAGAUCAAUAAAGGUUCUGGGUAUUUCCAUGUUGAAUCAGUUCCUACGUCAUUUGUAGAUGUCAGACUUAUCAACCAUAACAACACAAUACAAGUCAUACCCAAACUUGAUGGAAUGACUCAAGUGAAGGUUCAUGAUCUCUGCUUGGAUUUGUCACAUCCUCCUUCGACCAUGGCUCAAGUAUCUGGAGUUGGUUACAUUCAUCUUUAUGUCAUUGACAAGGUUGAACUUGGUAAAGACAUAAUAGCCAAAGUGAACAUCUUAGACAUCAAUGGUAAACCACUUUCAGCCAAGUUUUACCACCUCAUGAAUGUAACACUUUCCACAGAAUCUGACAUUCUCUCUGUGCAGCCAGCAUUUGAUGAUAAAGGUGAUUCAACUGAAGCUCAGUAUCUUGUCAAAGGCUUACAUAUCGGUCACACCACACUUACUUGCUCAGCAGUAAUGAAAUCUGGAGAAAGAAUCUUUAGUAAAACCAAACCAAUUGAGGUGUUCCCACCAUUACGUCUACGACCCCGGACCCUAACCCUCAUUAUUGGUGCUGUCUAUCAGAUACUUGCUACUGGUGGACCACGCACCCAAGGAUCUGUCGAAUUCUCUAUGGAAAAUUCUGCAAAGGCUAGCAUUUCCAAUAUUGGGCUUGUUGAAGCUCUGGAACUGGGAUCAACAAAGUUAGUUGGCCAAGCAGUUGGCCUUCAUCCAGAUAGUAAUGAACCAGUUAUCUAUUCAGAGGACAGUAUUGAUGUUUACGUCCUGAAGCUAUCUGGUGUGAAGAUCCAUUCCCCUCUGACACAGCUCAAGAUUGGUACACGGAUGCCACUAUUUGCAGUUGGUAUCACUGAUAAUGUGACCCCUUUCUCAUUUGGAAGUGCUAUUCCACCUUUGAGUUUUUCUUGGACAGUCAGUAACAGUAAGGUUGCUACACUACAGUCAGUCUACCACAAGACUGGUCUGAAUUCGCCAAGAGAAAGCAAUUUUGCCACUCAUUUGGUAGCCACGGGACCUGGGAUCAUCACUGUACAACUGAGAGUAAAACCAACACUAAAAGGCAAAAAUCAAAUUGUUUUAGACAAAGAAUUUCGAGAUGAAUUACAAAUCGAAGUUUUUGAUGGGCUGACCCUGAUUUCACCCAGCAUGGUUGAUGGUUACAUAUUGGUCACAGCCAACACUGAAAUGCAGCUGAAGACUAAUCGGGAUAAUUCUGUACGUCUGCUCUACAAAACAAGUAGCCGACCUGGUGAGAAAGCAGCUGAAGUAACUGUCCGCGAAAAUGGUAUCCUCUCGACUGGUUCUAAAACUGGGCAGAUUACUCUUAUGAUAUCUGCUGUUGAAGAUUUUGGCAUCAACCAGACAAUGGUUUUCAAUGUUAUAGUGAAACCAGUCUCCUUCUUAAUGCUCAGUGUUGACACUGUCUUUAAGUCUAAAAGUGGUAGCCUAUCUGCUCUUCCUCUUGGUGCCACUUUAUCUAUCCACGUGUCAUUCCAUGAUGAAAUUGGUCACACCUUCCAUGCUACCAACAUUCAGACCAAAUUCACAUGCAACCGUUAUGAUCUUCUACAGAUUGUUAAUGGUGCUGAAAACAACACACUGUUGAUUAAAACAACCAAUGCUGGACAAACUCUUUUAAAGGUUUGGAAUGCCGAUGAUCGUAAGCUGGCAGAUUACAUCAAUAUCCCUGUGAAACAAGCCAUUAUCCCACAGAUGGCUACCAUGAAAUUUGGACAGAUUUUCUGUUUUGAUGUUCCAUUGUCUUCAUCAAAAGGUUUGAAAGGUAUGUGGGCCAGUUCAAGUGGUGCCAUUACCAUUAACCAAGACACUGGUGUGGCUGUUGCCACCAACAUUGGUAAAUCUUACGUCACCUUCAAUAUGUCAUCUGAUUUGAAUAUUGUUACAGAGGUAGUGGUUGAAGCCGUUGGUGAAAUCUUUCUGGAAAACACUACAGCAUUUGUGUCAAAUGUUGGUCAUCAAAAAGUUUAUCUUUUCCCUGUGAAAUUGAGUCAUCAGAAAAGCUUCAUAGGAGGAAAUUGUCCGGCAUCCCUUGUGGCAGACAGUCUUGCUAAAGCAAUUCUGCCCUUCAUUUGUCAUGUUGAACUUACCAGUGAGCUUCAGGAUAUAACAGCAGAGAAUUUAUUUACAGUUCUUCCUGAUUUUGAUGAAUAUUCUGGCAAUUUUGUAUGUAAAUUGACAGUGGAGAGUAAAAAUCUGGGACUGUCUUUAACGACACUAAUGAGUAAUGUCAUUGUCCAUGUGACCAUUCCAAGUGAGGAGAACCAACCUGUCGUAUCUGCACACUCAGAGACAUUACCUUUCUAUCCAGGAUUUCAUAUCCAUUCUCUUGAACUCUAUCUUUCUACUACUAAUCCCCAAUCAACUCUAAGACUCUCAACUAUAUCAGCUCUAUUUGAACACAUUUUAGUGACUGCCAGUGACCCGUCCUUUAUUGAAGUUUUACCUCCUCAGCCUGAUAUAACCACAUCUAUUAUAGUCUACCUUGUCCGUCUACGUGAUGUCAGCGCAGUAUGGGACCGUCUUCGCACUGAUCUCUAUUUAGACUUUUCUUGUCCUCUCACUGGCCAACAUGUCCACAUUCCAGUCUACAUUAAACUGACUGACAAUAAACAGAUUGUUUCAGAUUCCAAAAACAAAGACCGAUCCUUCACAGAGGUGACAACCAGCCAAACAUUCUGGUUUCUCAUUUUACUCUUCAUAAUUGCAUUCUUUUUGAUUUUGGCUUUAGCCUACCAAAUACGGUAUGGAGCACAGAGAGUCAGUGACAGGCAUGAUGUUUUCCUUCAGCACCAAUACAAAAACAGUUCUCCACAUUCACCCAUUCUAACACCCAAAGAAGUGCAAAGAAAUCGUUAUCCGGAAGAGACUCCCCAAAGCAUUAGAAAUACAAGUCAGCUGUUUCAUAGGUCUUUCAAUUCUUCAGGCAGCCCUUAUCACUUCCAGCAGCCUCGUUCAAGACAAAAUGUGUUUCAUCCUACUCUUUGGUCUGUGGAAAAUUAAGCUGUAAGAACCAUCCAUGAGUGUUCAAGACUUUGUCUCAGUGAAACAGAUACAAAUACUUCCCUCUCUUUCUCUCUCUCUCUCUCUCUCUCUCUCUUUCUCUCUCUCACACUCA
This 5975-nucleotide unclassified non-coding RNA is filed under the name Octopus sinensis (East Asian common octopus). RNAcentral's name for it is "nuclear pore membrane glycoprotein 210-like, transcript variant X1". The record is from RNAcentral. Lineage: Eukaryota; Metazoa; Mollusca; Cephalopoda; Octopoda; Octopodidae.